AUGGGCACGUCUUUUGGAAGCUCCAAGCUGCAGGAUGAGCAAUACUACAAGCAUUUGGAUGAUGAAAGGAAGUAUUUCUUAGUGCUUAUGUUGGGUGAUUUCCAAGAUGCGAUGAUAAUCCCACAAGAAGUUGUGCGGCGUUUGAAAGGUGAGAUCCCAGGAGAGAUCAAGCUAGAAACCCGAAAUAGUUAUAUUGUGGUUGCCAAGAACCAAGAAAAGCUUGUCCUUACAGUGGGUUGGCGGCAAUUCAUCGAAAACUAUGAUCUACAGAUUGGUGAUUCCUUAAUGUUCAGAUACAAAGGGAACUCCCAGUUUAAUGUCAUGAUCUUUGAUAAGCUUGGUCGUGAAAAAGCAUUAUCAGUUGUUCUGGAUCCUUUUUUGCAUCGGGUCCAAGACAGGCGCAACGAGGCACAUGAAAUCGGGUCUUCUCAAAAGAUGGAUGUGCCUUGGGAAAGAUGCAAGAGCCGGACUGAAUAUCACUACGCAAACUUGGAUGAUGAGAAGAAAUAUUUCUUGGUGCAUAUGAUGGGCGAUUUUCAACAUGAGAUGAUCAUCCUAGAAGUAUUUGUUCAGCGUUUCAAGUGCGAAUUCCCAAGAGAGAUGAUACUUGAAACACAAAAUUGCCACAGUUACGUAAUUGGAGUUGCGAAGAACAAUGGAAAUCUUGUCCUUACAGUGGGAUGGGGGAAAUUUGUUGGGAUCUUUGGUCUAGAGAUGGGUGACACCAUAAUAUUAAGAUACAUUGGGAACUCCCGGUUUAAUGUCAUAAUCUUUGAUGAACUUGGUUGUGAGAAGGUAUCAUCAGUUUUUGUGGAUCCUUCUCCGCCUCCUGUGCAAGAAAGGCGAACAAGUGCUACUGAUACUGUGAAAAGUUCUCAUUUUCGUCCUCAGGCCAUACAAACGCAGGCAUUUAGCAUAAGGAAAGAGAUGCCAAUGGAGUCACGACACCUCCAAAUGGAAACGGACAAGUCAUGUCAAGACAAGAACACCGUGAUAAGUACUUCCUCCUGCGAGUCAUCAGGAGAUUGUUUCUCCUCUGAAGAAGAAUAUGGAGUACGUGAAGAUGAAGAAGAAUAUGGAGUACGUGAAGUUCCCGGUUCCAAUUUCACCGUGAGGAAGAAGAAGGUCAGGCUAUCUUCAAUUCAGAAGGAGCAGUUGAAGGAUGGUUACAUUACCGUGAACAAGACCAAACUAACUCCAGCUCAGAAGAAAGUUGUGAAGCAUAAGGUCCAGUCCAUAGACUCAGAGAUCCCCAUCUUUGCUGCGCAAGUCUAA
This 1275-nucleotide ribosomal RNA is filed under the name Triticum aestivum (bread wheat). RNAcentral describes it as "partial small subunit ribosomal RNA". Lineage: Eukaryota; Viridiplantae; Streptophyta; Magnoliopsida; Poales; Poaceae. The record is from RNAcentral.